This 430-nucleotide ribosomal RNA is filed under the name uncultured archaeon. RNAcentral describes it as "bacterial SSU rRNA". It matches the Rfam family "Archaeal small subunit ribosomal RNA", at positions 474 to 903 of the family's 1478-position model. The record is from RNAcentral.
UACCUGCAGCUCGAGUGGUGAUCGUUAUUAUUGGGCCUAAAACGUCCGUAGCCGGUCUUAUAAAUGCUUGGGUAAAUCGUAUGGCUUAACCAUACGAAUUCCGGGUAGACUGUUUGACUUGAGACCGGGAGAAGCUAGAGGUACUCCUGGGGUAGAAGUGAAAUUCUGUAAUCCUAGGGGGACCACCAGUGGCGAAGGCGUCUAGCUAGAACGGGUCUGACGGUGAGGGACGAAGCCCUGGGGCGCAAACGGGAUUAGAUACCCCGGUAGUCCAGGGUGUAAACGCUGCUUGCUUGAUGUUAGUCUGGCUCCGAGCCAGAUUAGUGUCGGAGAGAAGUUGUUAAGCAAGCUGCCUGGGAAGUACGGCCGCAAGACUGAAACUUAAAGGAAUAGGGCGGGGGAGCACAGCAACGGGUGGAGCGUGCGGUUU